This 466-nucleotide ribosomal RNA is filed under the name uncultured bacterium. RNAcentral describes it as "bacterial SSU rRNA". It matches the Rfam family "Bacterial small subunit ribosomal RNA", at positions 330 to 793 of the family's 1533-position model. The record is from RNAcentral.
UCCAGACUCCUACGGGAGGCAGCAGUGAGGAAUAUUGGUCAAUGGGCGGGAGCCUGAACCAGCCAAGUCGCGUGAGGGACGACGGUCCUAUGGAUUGUAAACCUCUUUUGUCGGGGAACAAAGGCGCCCACGGGUGGGCGGAUGAGUGUACCCGAAGAAAAAGCAUCGGCUAACUCCGUGCCAGCAGCCGCGGUAAUACGUAGGGGGCAAGCGUUAUCCGGAUUUACUGGGUGUAAAGGGAGCGUAGACGGCAGUGCAAGUCUGGAGUGAAAGGCGGGGGCUCAACCCCCGGACUGCUCUGGAAACUGUACGGCUGGAGUGCAGGAGAGGUAAGUGGAAUUCCUAGUGUAGCGGUGAAAUGCGUAGAUAUUAGGAGGAACACCAGUGGCGAAGGCGGCUUACUGGACUGUAACUGACGUUGAGGCUCGAAAGCGUGGGGAGCAAACAGGAUUAGAUACCCCCGUAC